Molecule: long non-coding RNA, 1714 nt
Organism: Triticum urartu
Lineage: Eukaryota; Viridiplantae; Streptophyta; Magnoliopsida; Poales; Poaceae
Source: RefSeq, a predicted model, not a curated record
CUUCACUCUCCACACAACUGUUCGCUCCUCCCCAUCCUGAACUCUUUCCCUCCACCGGCACGCGCUUGCCGCCGCCGCCGCCCCACCUCCACCUCCGAUUCUCCCUCACCCCAUCCCGCCCUCUCCUCUCCCUACACCCGCCGCUUCUCCUCCGUGACGUGUGGCCCAGCCACCGCUCGCCACCUCUCCCUCCGCUGCGGCCGCCGGGGCCACGCUCCCGUGCGCACCGCGCAAUGCAAGUCCGCCGGGCCGGAGGGGUUCAAGGAGGAGCUGUGCAGGCCACUGGAGCUUCUCCUCGGGGAUCUCUGGUGGUGGGCGAAGGACCACCCGGAUCUCCCCGCGCUGGUGGAGGUGGUAAUGGACCUCGGCCACACCCGCUCGCCCUCUUCCCUUUAGGCGACUUCCUCCUCUCCCACCACCUCCCUCAUAAUCCCUUGGCACCGACACGAUCGCAUAUUGGGUCGUUGUUCUCUGCAAACAUGAGCAGUUCUCGGUGCACCCAAGCGGCGCUGCCGACCGCAGCCUUCAACGCCUCCAGUGGACGUUGCCGCGCUCAGCUCAGGGGAGAGCGGUCGCAUCCCACCGCCACAUCGGCUCCGGGCGAAAGCCACGCCGCCGGAUCCCCCCACGCACCACCUCCUGCAGGUCUUCGUCCGUUAGGGGCCUUCAUGCUUCUGCUGGUCCACUUGUUGCACGGACGCAUCGGCUCAGGUUAGCACCUGCGUUGUGUCAGGCUUGAAUAAGGGUCUGCAAGAUCCUCGGGGUGGAGGUUUUCGUUUCGAAUUGCAAAGCGCGGUCCGAUAUGGGUUGCAUAUGUUCAGUGGAAGGGAUAUGUGUGCCAAUUUGCAUAUUUUUAAAUUUCUUUUAUCUUCAACUUUGGAACAUACAUGGUCACUCGAAUAGAUAUUAAGGAAGAUAUAGCAGAGAAGGAGCUGGCAUCUUCGUGCCCUUCCAACUGGAGGAAAUGGAAGCGAGACUGUUGUAUUUUCCCCUUGUAAACCAGCGAUAUGGGAGGACACCAUUAUUACAAAUUUGAAGUCUGACUGCGUGUUAUUGGCAAGAUACCUACGUGGAUGAUAUCGACAAGCUCGAUGGCCACAAUGAACCAGAUGUUGUCAACUACAUGGAGGACAUCUAUAAGUACUACAAGGCAGCACUGGACAUUCAAGAGUGAGUUGUUUUCUGUGGCCAGAAAAAGAAACAAUUCCAGUGAGAUACUUGUAUAAUUCAUUUGAUGGCUCUUCUUUUCCUCAGGCUAUUCUUUUCCCCAGGUUCUUAUUGAUCUCUUCUUUGCAUGAGCUUCUGAACACACAUCUAAUGCUUCUAAGAAGCAAAUUCCAUACUCUAGCAGUGACUUGCUUUCUGGUGUUUUGGUGGGAGAAAAUUUUCAGAAGCCAAGUUGUGCUGGACAUAGAUAUACUACGCCAAGGAGCUAAAAAAGGCUCUGGUUUUAUGAGUGCUCAGGCUCUGGUCUGACUUGUACAGCAAAGUUCAAGACUGGUCGCAUGAGCUGAGCCAGAGCAAGAAACAAAGCAGUUCUUCUGUGGACUGAGGGAGCAUUUGACAUGUAUCAUGUAUGUCAACACACACGUUUAGAUGGAAUGUACUUAUGUUCUAGGGCAACAUUAUUUGUGCCUUAUUUGAUAUCAAAGAAAUCAUUGGCAUGUUUGUACGCUUCAUUUAUUAUGUUUAAGUCAUAUUUACUGAACUUUUC